This 1220-nucleotide long non-coding RNA is filed under the name Citrus sinensis (sweet orange). Its description in RNAcentral is "long non-coding RNA (CSIN_LNC004870)". Lineage: Eukaryota; Viridiplantae; Streptophyta; Magnoliopsida; Sapindales; Rutaceae. The record is from RNAcentral.
CUCAAUGCAGCUACAUAUCGGUCAUUUGUAUCUUCUUUCCUUUGCAGCUCCCCAAGGUACUCUGCCAGUCUCUCUCGAUUUACUUGGCCCAUCAUCUGAUUCACAAGUUCAGAAAAUAAAUUCUGUUGCCACAGUUGCUAACUGAUCAUGAAAGCCAAGAUUGAAUUCAGAAUUCCAGACCUUUUGUACUCCAACAGCAUGCACAAGGACAUGUGAACAUAAUGUGCGUGCUUUUAGAAUUAGAAGAGUGCUAAAUCAGGCAAUUUACUUGAACAUAGUUUUGAGUGAUAUGAUCAAGAUGGUGGCACUUAUCCAUUUCCUUUCCAAAACCAAUAUGAAAAGUGGAUGCAGAUGCUCAAGCAAAAGUAGCUCACAUCGGAGGUUGAGUUUGUUAAGUACAUUUUUUAGCCACAUGGGUACACAGGGGUUAAGAACUUUGGAGGAGAGAUCUACCUUACAAUUAUAUUCCGGUUUUAUUUCAGCAAGACAUUCAGUGAUUGAGGGGGAAAAAAAAAAAAAAAAACUGACGAGUCCGACCAUUAUAAAUGGGAUACAUAAAUGAUUGCAAGUAAAAAGCUUGAUGAUCCAUUAACAAAGUGAAAUAACAUCAACAAUAGAUGCAAUUUGUACUUUGUAGUACUCUAGACGGAAAACCAACAAGUAAAUCUAUUUUACCCUAGCUAUGAAUUAUUUUUUUUUCAAAAGAAAAUUAUAGAGUGCAGCGAAAUGAGAGAUAACUCAAUGGUUAUUGUGUCCAAAUUACUAACCCACAAAUUACUUGGAAUUCGGCGGCAUGUGCAAUAGAAAAAAAAAAGUACAAAUUAUCCAAUCAGCAAACAAGAGUAAUCCAACUAAAUGAUACCUAUUAUUUUAAGACGCAAGUUAAACUGAAAGGUUAAACAUUAUUCAACAGUCUCCCUCAUAAGAGCAUAAAAAUUCGAUCUUUUGCUUAAAAAAAAAAAAGAACUUUGUUUGAGCGUUGAGGGUUCAUUAGCUUUUUUUAUUUGAUUAUAUUGAACAAGUAUCAUGCAUCGGAUGGAAUCAAAACAGAAAUAAAUAAGAAAGACAUACGAGGGAAUCGGGCCGGGCGGUCCUGCGUAGCUCCGCUUCAAGCUGGGGGUUGCGGGAGUUGGUGGCCUGCAUGACGCAAUAGCCAACGACCCCCGGAACGACGCCGCAUACUGUUGCGAAUGCCAAAAAGAACGGCUUCGAAUCCCGUG